Molecule: long non-coding RNA, 366 nt
Filed under: Equus asinus (donkey)
Lineage: Eukaryota; Metazoa; Chordata; Mammalia; Perissodactyla; Equidae
Description: lncRNA (ENSEASG00005030203.1)
Source: RNAcentral
UGGAUAUCAGAAUCAAGCAAUUCUCUCUCUGGGGACUCGGUAGCCAAGAUGUCUGUGUUUGCUCAUUCCCUCUGUACCCUGAAAUGACCACCUUCUUAGUUCUCCCUUCUGAACACUGGGUGGACUACGAGGGUCAGGCACAGGCCGGUCCUGCUCACUGUCCUCUCCUGAGGGAAAGUGUGAUGGCUUCAGCUCCUGAUGAGCCUCCUCAGGCUGUUCCCUGAGCAGUGGUGGCCAGUGACCCCUUGGGCGGGGGGGGUGCCUGGCUUGGAGAGCCUACUGCCUAGGGGUCUACCAGAUGGCCUGUUUCCUAGAGCUGCCUUGGAUUUCCAAUGACCUUCCAGUUCCAUGCCUGCAAGGCCUCCC